UACAGAGGGGGCAAGCGUUGUUCGGAAUUACUGGGCGUAAAGGGCGCGUAGGCGGCCCGCUAAGUCGAACGUGAAAUCCCCGGGCUCAACCCGGGAACUGCGUCCGAUACUGGCAGGCUUGAAUCCGGGAGAGGGAUGUGGAAUUCCAGGUGUAGCGGUGAAAUGCGUAGAUAUCUGGAGGAACACCGGUGGCGAAGGCGGCAUCCUGGACCGGUAUUGACGCUGAGGCGCGAAAGCGUGGGGAGCAAACAGG
This 253-nucleotide ribosomal RNA is filed under the name uncultured bacterium. Its description in RNAcentral is "partial 16S ribosomal RNA". It matches the Rfam family "Bacterial small subunit ribosomal RNA", at positions 524 to 776 of the family's 1533-position model. The record is from RNAcentral.